UACGAGGGGUGCAAGCGUUGCUCGGAAUUAUUGGGCGUAAAGGGUAGGUAGGUGGUCUGAUUUGUCUGGGGUGAAAGCCUUGAGCUUAACUCAAGAAGUGCCCCAGAAACGGUCAGACUCGAGUCCUGGAGAGGGUCGUGGAAUUCCCGGUGUAGCGGUGAAAUGCGUAGAGAUCGGGAGGAACACCAGUGGCGAAGGCGGCGACCUGGACAGGUACUGACACUAAACUACGAAAGCGUGGGGAGCAAACAGG
RNAcentral lists this ribosomal RNA (253 nucleotides) under uncultured bacterium. RNAcentral's name for it is "partial 16S ribosomal RNA". It matches the Rfam family "Bacterial small subunit ribosomal RNA", at positions 524 to 776 of the family's 1533-position model. The record is from RNAcentral.